Molecule: ribosomal RNA, 253 nt
Filed under: uncultured bacterium
Lineage: Bacteria
Description: partial 16S ribosomal RNA
Rfam family: Bacterial small subunit ribosomal RNA
Source: RNAcentral
UACGGGGGGGGCAAGCGUUGUUCGGAAUUACUGGGCGUAAAGGGCUCGUAGGUGGCCAACUAAGUCACACGUGAAAUCCCUCGGCUUAACCGGGGAACUGCGUCCGAUACUGGAUGGCUUGAGUUCGGGAGAGGGAUGCGGAAUUCCAGGUGUAGCGGUGAAAUGCGUAGAUAUCUGGAGGAACACCGGUGGCGAAGGCGGCAUCCUGGACCGACACUGACGCUGAGGAGCGAAAGCCAGGGGAGCAAACGGG